Long non-coding RNA from Loxodonta africana (African savanna elephant), 2305 nucleotides. RefSeq lists it as uncharacterized. The record is from RefSeq and is a predicted model, not a curated record. Lineage: Eukaryota; Metazoa; Chordata; Mammalia; Proboscidea; Elephantidae. The transcript is spliced from 3 exons.
CCUCCUCUGGAGCUCGGAAAACGAGGACACAGCCCGAGAGGGGAAAGGACUCUCAACUACAUCUCAAGCAGCCUGGCCCUUUGGAACCCAGGACUGAGCAGUUCAACUUGGAGGACAACUCCCCCCUUCCCUCCCUCCAGGGGCACAGGUCCCAGGACCUUCCAGCCGGUAGAAACCCUCCAAGAGAGGAGAGUUCGAUUUAAAAUUUUUUGGAAUGCAUUCUUUCUGAAAGUAUCAAGACGGCGCCAGGCAGCUCAGUGUUCGCAGACAGCUGUGGCGCGACGCAACUUAAGGAGGUUCUAGUGUCAUCCGCGCUGAGGGGGGAGGAGCCUGGCGCUGGUGAGGAGGGGACAGGAUCCCCAGCACAAGGAAACUGCAACCCAAAGCCGCUCCAGGACUUCGCCGCCCCCCGCCCCUCCGCCCUCCCCUCCACUGACCGGAAAGGGGCGCCGCAGAGGGCGGCCGCAGGCGGAGAGGGUGGGCGAGGCCCGCCGAGGUUUGGGGUUGAGGGGGCGGGCAAGAGGGAAUUCGCGCUCUGGCCCUUUAAAUGUGGCUCCGGCUUCUGCCAAUUCAUUUGGGCUCGUUAGAUUAUUUCGUCCCGGAGAAACCGGUCUGCCCCAUUCAUAAAGUUAAUUUCUACAGGCAGACUUUCCCCUACCCCCUCUCCAAGGUUUUUUUAUGUGCAAAAGAAAAAAAAUGCUUUUAUUCAAUCCAGGAUAUUUGGGAGGGUUUAUUUAUUUGGGGAUAUGUGCGCGUAAAACCGAUGAGGAAAAAAAAAUGUUUAAUGUCAAGGUACUUUGAGACUUCCCUCUUGUGCAGGUUUCCUAAAAGACUGAAGGCUCAGGCGAAGAUGUUUGUCUUUGAUCCUACUGUCCGUAUUACUUUUGUUGUGAACAUUUUCCCCAGCUCUGUGCUUUUAACGAGCCUCUCAAAUGAAUACGAUUUAGCUGUUGCAACUGUCCUCUCUAAAUCUAAUAUUUGUAAUCGGUGUUUGCUUUUGAUUUGAGUGACAAGUGAUGGAUGAAAAGGAGGGAGGGAGGAAGAGAAAGACUGACCGGUUCUCUAAGUACAGGGUAAAUGGAAGUAACUCUCGUCUUUACUCCAGUUCCCGAACUUUGCCUGUCAGAUCCUUCACCCGCCCGGAGUCUUCCUCCCGCUCUCAGCGCUUCUCCCCCACCCAAGCAAACUAGCUCCCCCCCGCCCCUCCACUGACCCGAGCCCCCCGCCGCCCGGACACGACUCAGCAGCGACCUUCCCCCAGACUCAGCGGGUCUCCAGGAGAAACUGCCGAGUCCGGCCGCCCCGGGCUGUGAGAGCGGAGCUCCGAGACCGAGCAGUCGGCGGAGCUCCGGUGGAGGACACGAGGAUGAAACCAAGGAGGAUGCUGCCGCCGCCCCUACAGAGCCCUGGGCUCCUGUAGGGCGAGAGGCCUCUCACCAUGGUAAGGGGCUGGCAAACGCAUGGUCGCCUGGAACCCUGGGGGCAAACAUCCCGGAGACCAGCAGGCGACGGCGUAGCCGUCACUCCCGGAACAAACUGGUCUUGGUGCUGCUCGUGGGGCCACGGCAGCCAGUUUGGCCUAUCUUAAAGCCCAGGCCUCGAGGUUGCUGCUUUAGGCGUCAAGUUGAGUGGGGUAUGUGUGCCCUCUUGGGGAAAGGGUAAGGAAUAAAGUUUUACUUUCUAUCUCUGGUUGCGGUAAGAGGGGACCACACACACGCACACAGACACCAACCCAUGUAUAGGUCCCCCCCUCCCGGGGGCGCAGAGACCUGUCCCGGGUGGAAGUGGGGAACCCAGUCCCGCAUAAAAACCUGAUCCCAUGGCGCAAAGGAGAAGUGCAGGCCCCCAGUGCUCAUCCCUUGGGUCCCAAGACCAGGAGAGAGGAGAUCCACGCGGCCAGAGCCACCCACCCGAGCCUGGGGACCGGCGCGUCAAGGCGAGCUCCGCGGGGCCGAGGUGCCUGGAGAAGCGGCCCCGGGCGCCCGCGCGAUGCCCGCAGAGGGUAACAAGAAAAGCCGAGCCUCAGGGUCGAAGUCAUAAAGUUACUAAUCCCGCGCUGGGGGAGUGAGCGUGCCUCAGGCCGCCUGGGGCGGUCAUUUGAGCGUGUUUACUUAAGGACUUUGCAAGCCGAGCGCGCGAGAAAUAGUCGGAUUUCCAGCGAGGCAGCAAAUAUUUGCAGGCUAGAGAAAGAAGCGGAGCCGGGCCGCGCCGCCGCGUCCCUCCCCCCGGAGCCGCGGCGCCGGCCUGGGCGGACCCAGCCGCGCUGUUAAAGACAGAAAUGAACCCGGGAACCUGUGGGGCUGGG